This 931-nucleotide small RNA is filed under the name Malus domestica (apple). Its description in RNAcentral is "sRNA MD03G0184800". Lineage: Eukaryota; Viridiplantae; Streptophyta; Magnoliopsida; Rosales; Rosaceae. The record is from RNAcentral.
UUUUAACGGUUUCUGUUGCUUUUUAACGGAAUAUUCCUAACGGGGUUAGGGGAUUCUGUUAGGGUUCCUUGCGUGUAGGGCCGUGCCCUUGCCGGCGCGUGACGGCUCCAAAAAUUAUUUUAAAAUUUUGGGCGUGUUCAUGGAGUUGUGUAGGUCACGAUAGUAUAUUUAUAUACCUCAUUUGAGCAAUGUAUGAUAAGUUAUUAGUCAGUAUUGGUUAUGGGAGACUUAUCCCGAGGACGAGCGCAAUCAAGGGCGACUCGGGGGCUACGACCCUUCGACAUACCAGUUUUAGGUAAGCUUGUCCGUCAGUGGCUUGCGAGGAUUGAACGGAGGUUCUGACAAAAUACCACAAUGUAGGACAUUUUUGGGUGUCGUUUAAUUAGUACUAGUUUUCUAGACUGAAUUUAGGCUACUCAUGCUCUGAUUGUGUAUUCACACAUUUUCUAGCACUUAUCUUAGCUAGUACUUUUAUGAAUUGGUUUUUAUUUAUUCGUAUUCUCUAUUAUCCUUCUUGCUUUCGUACUGUGCAUAUGACUACGUCAUCCUCACUUGACGGCCAGCAUGCCCUGAUUCGGGUCGGGGUGUGUCAAUUUGUAUAAAAUAAAAAAUAAAAACUUAAACAAAGAUUUCUAGUUGAAAACAAAAGCCAACCAUUGUCCCAGAACCAGAUGUUCCCAGAACACCAGAGAUGAUCCCUUUCCACCAAAUCCACCUAAUCCAAGAUCCGGACCGUUGUAUUUUGAUCCAACAGCUACAAUUAUUAUAACUUUUAAAGGGUCCCUGUUUGUAGAUGUUGGAUCAAAUUAAAAUCUAAUGGCUACAGUUAUUAUAACUUUUAAAUGACCCUUUUUUGUUGUCAUUGGAUCAAAUUUCAACUGUCUGAAUCACGGAUUAGAUGGAUUUGAUAGAGAGGGAUCCGAUCCCUUUC